CCAUAGCUCAGCGGUUAGAGCAGCGGACUCAUAAUCCGUUGGUCCUGGGUUCAAAUCCCCGUGGG
RNAcentral lists this transfer RNA (65 nucleotides) under bovine gut metagenome. It matches the Rfam family "tRNA", at positions 5 to 66 of the family's 71-position model. From Rfam's summary of the family: Transfer RNA (tRNA) molecules are approximately 80 nucleotides in length. Their secondary structure includes four short double-helical elements and three loops (D, anti-codon, and T loops). Further hydrogen bonds mediate the characteristic L-shaped molecular structure. tRNAs have two regions of fundamental functional importance: the anti-codon, which is responsible for specific mRNA codon recognition, and the 3' end, to which the tRNAs corresponding amino acid is attached (by aminoacyl-tRNA synthetases). tRNAs cope with the degeneracy of the genetic code in two manners: having more than one tRNA (with a specific anti-codon) for a particular amino acid; and 'wobble' base-pairing, i.e. permitting non-standard base-pairing at the 3rd anti-codon position. The record is from RNAcentral.